This 61-nucleotide transfer RNA is filed under the name Stictocephala bisonia. RNAcentral's name for it is "tRNA-Gly". The record is from RNAcentral. Lineage: Eukaryota; Metazoa; Arthropoda; Insecta; Hemiptera; Membracidae.
GUUUAUUUAGUAUAAAUGUAUAUUUAGCUUCCAACUAGAAGGAUCAAAAUUGAAAUAAACA